UACAGAGGGUGCGAGUGUUAAUCGGAAUUACUGGGCGUAAAGCGCACGUAGGCGGUUCGUUAAGUUGGGUGUGAAAGCCCCGGGCUCAACCUGGGAAUGGCAUUCAAAACUGUCGAACUAGAGUAUGGUAGAGGGAAGCGGAAUUUCCGGUGUAGCGGUGAAAUGCGUAGAUAUCGGAAGGAACACCAGUGGCGAAGGCGGCUUUCUGGACUAAUACUGACGCUGAGGUGCGAAAGCGUGGGGAGCAAACCGAAUUAGAAACCCGAGUAGUCC
This 273-nucleotide ribosomal RNA is filed under the name uncultured bacterium. Its description in RNAcentral is "partial 16S ribosomal RNA". It matches the Rfam family "Bacterial small subunit ribosomal RNA", at positions 524 to 796 of the family's 1533-position model. The record is from RNAcentral.